Long non-coding RNA from Hippocampus comes (tiger tail seahorse), 786 nucleotides. RefSeq lists it as uncharacterized. The transcript has 7 exons. NCBI's taxonomy places the organism in Eukaryota, Metazoa, Chordata, Actinopteri, Syngnathiformes, Syngnathidae. The record is from RefSeq and is a predicted model, not a curated record.
CACGGAGGAUCAGUGACCCCGCCUUGAGCAGCCUGAUUGGACGAGUGACUCGUGCUGCUCCCCGGCUGUGCUGUGCAACUACUGAACACUGAUCGCAAAAAAGCCAAGGAGAAAAAAAAGCAAAGCAAAGGGUACUCCGCGAUGAUUGGUUGAAUGGUGAAACAGGCACCCCGCCUUGUUCUGACACUUUGGACUGCCAGUGAAAGUGGAGGGGGUGGGCCCCGCUGUAAUGAUUGACAGGUGAACAUACCGACGAUAGAGAAGAUGAGGAACGCCGGCCGCUCGUUGGGAGACAGUGAGCGUGUGGUCGUCCCGUCGUUUUGUUCCGGUGCUGACUUAUCAGGAGGGUUCCGUCCUACGCAUCACAAUAAACCUUCGAACAGCAGAAGCCUGGAAGCUUCUGGAAGCAGGCCUACGGCGCCGUGUUUGGUCUGCCUAAACUGGCCCUGAUGCAAGCGGACUGUUAUAUCAAUGCCUUAUAGGAGGAAGAACAGGGUGCUUCGUAUUACUUUUCUGACCAUGGUUCGUAAAAGGGGCCAAGUCAGCACAAAUAGUCCAAGGAGGCGGUAACAGCGAGUCCUGGACAAGCUCCAGUUGCUGGCACGGUCACCGUGUACGGGCCAGCUAGUGGAAAUGAUUCACGAGAAAUUCCACCAAGAGCCAAAAAGCAGCUCGAAAAGGAAAAAUAUUGGCUACUGGAGUGUGUAGGAUGGAAAGGUUUGGCCGCCCCUGUUUGACCAUGAGAGGCUACAACACAACUUUACCACCUCAUAUGUUCUUCUCUAC